Molecule: ribosomal RNA, 467 nt
Filed under: Streptococcus infantis
Lineage: Bacteria; Bacillati; Bacillota; Bacilli; Lactobacillales; Streptococcaceae
Description: bacterial SSU rRNA
Rfam family: Bacterial small subunit ribosomal RNA
Source: RNAcentral
GAACGCUGCGCGUGCUAUACAUGCAAGUAGAACGCUGAAGGAAGGAGCUUGCUCUUUCCGGAUGAGUUGCGAACGGGUGAGUAACGCGUAGGUAACCUGCCUGGUAGCGGGGGAUAACUAUUGGAAACGAUAGCUAAUACCGCAUAACAGUAGAUAUCGCAUGAUAGCUGCUUAAAAGGUGCAAUUGCACCACUACCAGAUGGACCUGCGUUGUAUUAGCUAGUUGGUGAGGUAACGGCUCACCAAGGCAACGAUACAUAGCCGACCUGAGAGGGUGAUCGGCCACACUGGGACUGAGACACGGCCCAGACUCCUACGGGAGGCAGCAGUAGGGAAUCUUCGGCAAUGGACGGAAGUCUGACCGAGCAACGCCGCGUGAGUGAAGAAGGUUUUCGGAUCGUAAAGCUCUGUUGUAAGAGAAGAACGAGAGUGAGAGUGGAAAGUUCACACUGAUGACGGUAUCUUAC